RNAcentral lists this ribosomal RNA (407 nucleotides) under uncultured bacterium. RNAcentral describes it as "partial 16S ribosomal RNA". It matches the Rfam family "Bacterial small subunit ribosomal RNA", at positions 29 to 526 of the family's 1533-position model. The record is from RNAcentral.
AUUGAACGCUGGCGGCAGGCCUAACACAUGCAAGUCGAGCGGAGCGGCGGCCGGGUGAGUAAGGCCUAGGAAUCUGCCUGGUCGUGGGGGAUAACGUCCGGAAACGGGCGCUAAUACCGCAUACUAUCAGAUGCGCCUAGGUCGGAUUAGCUAGCGGGUGGGGGAACGGCUCACCUAGGCGACGAUCCCUAGCUGGUCUGAGAGGAGGACCAGCCACACUGGAACUGAGACACGGUCCAGACUCCUACGGGAGGCAGCAGUGGGGAAUAUUGCACAAUGGGCGCAAGCCUGAUGCAGCCAGGCCGCGUGUGUGAAGAAGGCCUUCGGGUUGUAAAGCACUGUCAGCGGGGAGGCGUUACCCGCAGAAGAAGCACCGGCUAACUCCGUGCCAGCAGCCGCGGUAAUAC